GUGAGUCAUCGAAUCUUUGAACGCACAUUGCGCCCAUUGGUACUCCAUUGGGCAUGCCUGUUCGAGCGUCAUUUACACCCUCAAGCUCUGCUUGGUGUUGGGCGUCUGUCCUGCUCUCCUGCAUGGACUCGCCCUAAAGCUAUCGGCAGCUCCUAUGCCAGCCCCCAGCGCAGCAGAAUCAGCGCUCUGGAGGGCCUGGCUGGGCAGCGUCCGGCAAGAUUCAUUUCAAGCUUGACCUCGGAUCAGGUAGGGAUACCCGCUGAACUUAAGCAUAUCAAUAAGCGGAGGA
This 289-nucleotide unclassified non-coding RNA is filed under the name Pithomyces sp. Its description in RNAcentral is "partial contains 5.8S ribosomal RNA, internal transcribed spacer 2, and large subunit ribosomal RNA". The stretch from base 1 to 71 matches the Rfam family "5.8S ribosomal RNA", at positions 84 to 154 of the family's 154-position model. The record is from RNAcentral. Lineage: Eukaryota; Fungi; Ascomycota; Dothideomycetes; Pleosporales; Astrosphaeriellaceae.